UACGGAGGGUGCGAGCGUUGUCCGGAAUCACUGGGCGUAAAGGGCGCGUAGGCGGCCUGAUAAGUAGGGGGUGAAAUCCUGCGGCUUAACCGCAGGGCUGCCUUCUAGAUUGUCAGGCUAGAGCACAGUAGAGGCAGGUGGAAUUCCCGGUGUAGCGGUGGAAUGCGUAGAGGUCGGGAAGAACAUCAGUGGCGAAGGCGGCCUGCUGGGCUGUUGCUGACGCUGAGGCGCGACAGCGUGGGGAGCAAACAGG
This 253-nucleotide ribosomal RNA is filed under the name uncultured bacterium. RNAcentral describes it as "partial 16S ribosomal RNA". It matches the Rfam family "Bacterial small subunit ribosomal RNA", at positions 524 to 776 of the family's 1533-position model. The record is from RNAcentral.